GACGAACGCUGGCGGCGUGCUUAACACAUGCAAGUCGAACGGAAAGGCCCGGCUUUUGUGGGGUGCUCGAUUGGCGAACGGGUGAGUAACACGUGAGUAACCUGCCCUUGACUUUGGGAUAACUCCAGGAAACUGGGGCUAAUACCGGAUAGGAGCUCCUGCUGCAUGGUGGGCGUUGGAAAGUUUCGGCGGUUGGGGAUGGACUCGCGGCUUAUGAGCUUGUUGGUGGAGUAGUGGCUUACCAAGGCUUUGACGGGUAGCCGGCAUGAGAGGGUGACCGGCCACAUUGGGACUGAGGUACGGCCCAGACUGCUACGGGCGGCAGCAGUGGGGAAUAUUGCACAGUGGGGGGAAGCCUGAUGCAGCAACGCCGCGUGCGGGAUAACGGCCUUCGGGUUAUAAACCGCUUUCGCCUGUGACGAAGCGUGAGUGACGGUAAUGGGUAAAGAAGCACCGGCUAACUACGUG
RNAcentral lists this ribosomal RNA (468 nucleotides) under uncultured bacterium. RNAcentral describes it as "partial 16S ribosomal RNA". It matches the Rfam family "Bacterial small subunit ribosomal RNA", at positions 28 to 507 of the family's 1533-position model. The record is from RNAcentral.